This is a long non-coding RNA of Haliotis rubra (blacklip abalone), 726 nucleotides long. RefSeq lists it as uncharacterized. The transcript is spliced from 2 exons. Lineage: Eukaryota; Metazoa; Mollusca; Gastropoda; Lepetellida; Haliotidae. The record is from RefSeq and is a predicted model, not a curated record.
AUAUACUACAACUGCUGCUGUGUUGGUGACUUGAUGGCUCAGUUUGGUUGCUUCAUUAAGUAUACCUGUUGUAUCUUUUCUCUCAUUGGCUUCACCUUGUUUUGUUGUCAAACUUGGAUCGUUCCUGUCACUCCACCAUCGCCAUACAUCAUCUAUGUCAGAAACACACACUCUUUACCACUGGUACUUUAUAAUAUACACAUACUAAAUAUCAAUACAGUAUCUCUAACUUGAAAUGAACUUGCUUUUCUAAAACUUAUUGAAAACUCUUUGAAUGUAAUAAUGUUCUGUAAUGCCUCCUUAUUGUGCAUACUGUUACGUCCUCGUCUUCCCCACGAUGCCUGUUCUUUUUGUAAGGGCCAACUAAGGGGAUUGAAUGGUCAUGAUGUUUCAUCUCACUCCAUUUGCAUGGGUUGUUGCUCGUACUAUGGAUCUACUGGUCUACUUGGUUGGUUAUGAUAUGACUUGAGAAUUGCUGACACCGAUGUUACACAAAGGGACUCAAUCUUCUCCAUGCAAUUGGUUGCACCUACCUCAUUUAAAAUAAGAUUGUUUACUCUGAUAUGAUACCUCUCAGUGUUAAAAUCGGAUAAAUCAUCUUUUGAAGGUCUCGUUGGGUGAACAAACUCCCAAUCAAAAUGAAGGAUGAAGGGAUCUUAUCAUUCCGAGGUCACAUUUCUCCAAUGAGUUCACUCCUGUUCUUGAUUUUGAAUACUUAUCUUGGUU